Spinacia oleracea (spinach) is the source of this 6396-nucleotide long non-coding RNA. RefSeq lists it as uncharacterized. Lineage: Eukaryota; Viridiplantae; Streptophyta; Magnoliopsida; Caryophyllales; Amaranthaceae. The transcript has 10 exons. The record is from RefSeq and is a predicted model, not a curated record.
UGAUGAUGCGGCUAAAGACAUAUUAAGAGAGAAGAAUGUCAAUCUCACUUAGACUACUAUAGAAAUGUCAUUUUAUAGCUUUUUUGCUUCUUCUGCUAUUAAAGGUAUUAUAUACAGCGCUUAUAUAAUAACAGCUCUAAUAUCCACAAGUUACUAUAGCGAUUCGUAAUUAAACGCUAUCAAAACCUAUAGAAAAAAAUUAAAACCUAUAAGAAAAUUAUAGGCCGUCUACCUUCUCGUUUUUCCUCUUCUUUUCACCAAAAUCCUUUGCUGCUCCAGUCUCUCUCCUCUUUCUUUGGGGAACGAGUUGCUCCUCCUUCAUGGAAAUUCGUCUUUCGUAGAGAUGAGGAUAUUUUCAUAUACGUUUGGAUUGUGGAGAUUAUGUGAUGAGAUUCAUGAAGGAGAUUAUCUCACAUAAGCGAAUUCAAAUUCCUAAAGUUAUGUGGGGGAUUAUUGCGGAGAAGAACACAAGAAAUAAUAGGAAAGUUGUGUUCUCAUGUCUGCUUGUGUUUACUUUCAGGAUAAUUUGAUUUUAUUUGACAUGCAUACACAUUAUCACCAAAUCACCUGACAGACUAAAGUUUUCUUUUGUAUUUUUACAGAAAGAAUUUUUUCCCCUUCUUAUAAGUAAGAACAAUUCAAGUAUGUAUGAACAUCUUAUACCCCGUUGUUUUGCAUUACUUUUCAGAUUGUCUAUUUUCAAAUUAUGAUAAAGAGCAGAUUGACAAAGUAAAAAUGAGUGGGUGCGCCAUGUUGUUCAACAAUUGUAUAAUAGCUAGGUUACGUUGAAGGAACCAAAAAAUAUACAACUCUAUUAAUUAAUAUAUUUUGCGUACUUUAAUGUUUGUAAUCUUACUUUAGAAUGUAUUUAUGUAAUAGGUUUUAUUAGCGUUCAUGGUGACCAAUUGUAAAAUUCUUUUCUUUGACGUUUGGAAAUUAAUAUAUUUAUUUAUUUACUGCACUCUUCAAUAUAUGGUAUUUCGAAAUAUGAAUACUUAUUUUGUGACAUAAAAGGGAAUAUAUUGCAUCCAGCGAAAUUAUAAAAAUAAAAUGAAAAAAUUAGAAAAGCAUUUUAAUAGCGCUUCAUAUACAUCCACUAUUAGAAAAUAAUUUAAAAGUUGGGGGUAAAAUCUUUAACAACACACCUUUAAUAGCACUUAUAAUGUGCUAUAAAAUAAAUAUUUGAAUUAUCCUAACAAUACCUUUAUAGCACUUUUCAAAAGUUCAAUUAAAAGUACCUUUUACUUUAAUAGCGAUCCAUCAACAUCGCUUCAAGAAGCGUUGUAAAUAGCCAUAUUAAACGCUACAAAAUCCAUUUUUUAUCGUAGUGUAAACUCAUUAAAAUUUGCAGUGUCCCCAAGAAUAACAUAACCAAUCAAAAGUUAAUAUGCAGGCUUAUUGCUUUUGUUUGUUGAAUUGCUACUUGUUCUAUAACGAUGAUAGCAUGUGGGGAGACAUUAGGCGAGUCCCGAUGGUGAGUCAUAUGGACCCGCGUUAUUCAAAAAUUACCAUGGUUGUUGCUGAAACAAUAUUAUGUGCGGAUGCGUUGAAAAAGGACGCCAAGUGUGAAAGCUUCGAGGGAAACCCUUUAUUUAUUGUGCGUCAAACAAUUAUUGCGCUGCAGCGGCGUGCGCCAUAUCUUUAUUGCUCCUGAUUCUGGGCACAAUAAAUUUGUUACACGCCUCGUAUAUUAUUUCAAGACUGGCGAUUUUGAAUGGGUGAUGUAAUAUAUUCACAUUAGUACAUGCGCGCGAUUAUAUUCUUGCGCUUAGCUUUCAUGUGUGAAAAUAUUUCCGCGCCCUUUCUUGUCCGGUCCCUUUUGUUCGUACUUCGAAUGCGUUUUUUUUACUUUUACGAAUUCUUGCGAGUGGUAUGAUUAAGCGAAUAGGAAAUACUUGCACCAAGGGGAAAACGAGGCCGAGUGGACCUUUUACUUCACCCAUGGCCUGUGCUCCAUUAAGUGGGUGAUAUCGUGGUGGGGUCUGCAUUCAAUGGUAGGCGGGUGAAAGAUCGUUGUCUUCCCCAGAUUGCUCGAACUGGCACAUGCUACUUAUAUCUUUAUGUACCGAGUCAUGAGACAGUACGGUAUGAGGCAUAACAUACCUUUUCCGGAUACUACACCACAAAAUAUGGCGGUUCUCUCAUGGAAUCGCGUCCUUGUGCGGGAAAAUUACUAUAGUGACUUGCCCCGUUGGAACGUUGUCGUAGAUGGGAAUAAUUCUAUUCUGAGAGUUACAAGAUCUGGAUGAGUUCUGACGAUACUAUGGAGAGGACCAAGGCUUGUGAUGGUGAACCGGCUGUGUUACUUCACCCAAGGGGUAAGACCAAGUAUGAGCACAUUGGUACUUCUAGGUCCCGAGAGGCUAACUCUAGGCCUCCAAGGAGGCAAUCUGACCGUAAGCGUAAGGGUGACCAUCAAUGAUCUGAAUCUAAACCCCGAAGGGUGCCCGCUGAGCAUGCUUUAACUAGCCCAAAAAUGAUAUGGUAGAUUCUGCUAAAAUUCUCCGUUGCGAGAAGAAUAAGAAACAGGCGUGGGUGAAAAGGACUCAAGCCCCUGUUACCAUGGUGGUUAAAACUCAUUGCACCUAUUUCAAUCACUGCUCCCAUUCCAAAACUGAGUUGGUAAUGUGGUUCAGUAUUAAUUAUACAAGUUAAUAAUUCAGUGAGAUCAAGUUAACUGUAUGCCUAGCUAGAGGCCGCUUCAGUUCAAGUGGAAUUAAUAAUAUUAAUCCACAUCUUACUCUUAACUGAACCCGUAGGGUCACACAAAUAGUACGUGAACGGAUCAAGUAUUUAAAGGAAUUAAAUACUCCAUUUAUGGAUAUUCGGAAUCGACGGAUCUCGGUUCCAGUGGGAGCUGAAAUCGUCAAAAGGCAAAUUAUGAAUACUCCGGAAACGAUGAUAUUGCCGGAAACGGAAAUAUGGAUGGUAUCGGAAAUAUAAAUAUUAUCCAAGUCGUAGAUGUUGCCGGAAACGGAAACAUGUUACGUAUCGGAAAAUAUUAUCCGAAAUGGAAAUAUUGCCGGAAUCGGAAAUAUUGCCGGAAACGGAAAUAUUGUCAGAAUCAGAAAUAUUAUCGGAAUCGGAAAUAUUAAAUAUUUGUUCGAAACGGAAAUUAAUUCCGGAAUCGGAAAUAUUAAAUAUUGUUCGAAUCGAAAAUGAAUUUCCGAAUCGGAAAAUUAAUCGGAAGCGCGUCGUACGAAAUAAACAUCGGACGAGCUUGCUAGACGCAAGGCCCAACACAAAGCCUGGCCCACGCCUAGCAAGCCCAACGCGCAAGACAUCGUAGCAGCAUCCAAGGCACGCAAGGCCAAGCGCAAGGCCAGGCCCAGCGCGCCCAUGGGCUGUGAGCAAAUCGUGAGCUGCGAGUAAGUCGUGGGCUGCGAGCAGCGCGUGGGCUUCUAUGCGCGCGCGCAUGGCCUGCGCCCCUUAUGGGCCGUGCGCGUGUGUGUGUUGAAGUUCGUGCAUGCAUCAAAUCCUUAAGCAAUUAGGAUUAGAUUAAAAGAUUAAUUUCCUAAAGUUACUAGUUUUAAUUAAGGUCUAAUUCUAAUAGAAUUAGAUGACUUGAAAACCUAGUAGACUUCUAAUUCCAUUAUUCCUACCCUAUAAAUAUGUGAUGGCAUUCACAAUUUAUGAACACAUAAUUUUAAGUAUUCACAGAGUUUUAAGGAUUAAAACUAACGAUAAUAUUGCCUCAAAUAUUCGAAUAAAACAUAAUACCUUAGGUGCAAUUCUAGUUAAUUAAAUCUAAGGCUGAUCCGAACGUGUUGUGGACUAUCUACGGAGGGACGACGUUUGGAGUCCUAAACUUGUUCUUGUUCGGUUCGGGAGCAGCUAGGGAGGGCACACUACAAAGAGUAUGCAUCCUAAAUUAUGAUAAUUGUUAUGUGGCAAUUAAUUUGGAUUCCUGGCUUUAUGGUUUUUCCGCAUGAAAUAUAUAUGAUUUAUAUGUAUCAUAACCUAACAGUGGUAUCACGAGCCUCUAAUUAAUUCCAUAAUAAUUAGUUAACAUGGUUAAAUUUUAUAAAUCUGCAAUGAAUUAAAGGUGUGAUAAAUUUCGGUUUUUUGUAAGUAAUUGCAAAUUCGUGCGAUUAUUUAAUUAUAUGUUCGCAGAAUUUUCGGCCGUUUAGUCAAUAAUGGUUGGAAUCGUAUAAUUUUAUAGUGAAUUUCGCAUGUAAACGACAUUUUAAAAUUUUGACUAAAAUCAAGGAUUUGAUGCCGAACCCAGAAUUCCCAAAUUCGAAGCCUAACUAUGACUUUUCGGAGGUUUUAGUUUUUUCGAACGCAAAAUUUGUAAUUUUUAAGAUGUUAAAAUAAAUAUUUGCGAUUCUUGUUCGUAAAUCUUGAAUUUUUGAUUGACCUACUGUAUAUGUUUAACAAAUUUAAAUGCCUAAGCUUGUUAAUUAUACAACCUAAUUUGUAAUUGUAAUUAAUUUGUUGAAAUUCGAAUAAUUUAGAAUUUGAUUUGAUUUUCAUAUUUAAUUGACAAUUUAAUUAGGUAUACAUGAUUAAAAACACUACUAGAAAAUGCCUAUUUAACGACAACACGGUAACGACGGAGUCGAUUUAUAGUCGUUGAAUGUGUUAGCGCGUUACUUUAUUACGACCCAGGAAUACAGUCAUCGUAAUUUGUGAAAAAGGGAAGCUGAAAAAUAAAGUAAAAAAAAAAAUGGUUCGUCGUUAUUCCUAGCACUUCCGCAGCUUCCUGUAGUUCUCCUCAAGUUUAAAACCCUCAAAUAAAACCCUCAAACCCUAAUUGAAUUUCUCAAAUUCAUUGCUUCAUAUGAGCAACUUCUUUGAUUUGGAAUUCCCAGCAAAUCCUUGACAUACACAACACAAAUUCAUAUGUCCCUCUUUCUCUCUUUAUUUCACCAAAUAUCCUACAAAUUUAGGGGUUUAUUAGUCGUUUUUGUUCAAUCCAUUGAUGAAGUUGGGUUGGAUUUGGCUGUCAAAUUCUUGAAUCGUAAUUAUGAAACUCUGGUAAGUUUCCUAUUCUUUCUUUGAUUUAUGCAAUUUUUUUGAAAGCUUACUUAUGGUAAAUUGAACAGAUAGUUUGAAUUUAUUUAUUUUUUCUAUUGCAGCUGCAAAUUAUAUAAUUUAUUAACGCUCAAGUCAAAAUGGUUAUUUCUGCAAUCGAGCAUAUUGGUAUCCUACUUUUGGGAUAUACGAGUCUAGUACAACUAAUUCGCAGGGGCAGCAGAAAAAACCAUCGGUACCUAUGUCCUUUGCUCCACCUCCUCUUCUUCACCCCCCUCCAUCGUAUCAAGAGGUGAGCAAUCCGGUGAGAUUACAAUCAAUGCAUGUAAGACCGGAUUCAAGACCGAAGCCUGCGUAUUCGGUUGGAAGGAAGCCUGUUCUUAAGAAUCCUAAAGUCAAGGAUCUCCACAAAAGGGACAUGACCUUUGAAGAAAAGCAAAAGCUUAGAACUCAUCUUCAGAGUUUGCCUUCGAAGAAGCUUGAUGCUAUAGUGUAGAUCAUUCAGAAGAGGAAUUUAGCUUUAUCACAACAUGAUGAUGAGAAUAUUGAAGUGGAUAUGGACAGUGGUGAUGCCGAGACACUUUGGGAGCUAGAUAGAUUUGUAACAAAUUACAAAAAAAGCCUGAGCAAACAUAAGAGGAGAGUCGAACUUGCUCAAGCUAGAGCAGCAAUUAUCCAUACUCAAGUAACAAUUCAAGCUCCUGCAAAUGUUGAAGCGCCUAGAGAAACCACAACAGAUAAAGGAAAUGUUACCACUUCACCUCGUGUUCAACAAGAGAGUCAUAGCGAUAAUGAAAGUGGUUCAAGUGGGUCAAGCAGUUCUAGCAGUGAUUCUGGAUCUUCUAGUGAUUCAGAUAGUGAUAGCUCUUCUGGUUCGGAGUCAGAUGGAGGCCAUUACAUAGGAUCUAAUUGUGUUUGUUAAGCCAUUGUAUAAUACAAGAGUGUGCUUCUUGAGCUUACUAGUGUUCAGGCUCGAAGGAGAGGGAAGCGAGCUACAGAGUUGGAAAAAAGGUGCCUGGUUGAUCAAGAUAAGAAUGGACAGAAUACUCUGCUGAACUUUGUGGAGGAACCCAUAUAUCUAAUUUAAGAGAAGCCAAGGCAUUUGCUCUUUUAUCUUAGCAGGGGAUUGCCAAAGGAAUUCGUAGAGUGACUGUUGUUACGUCUGAGGUUGCGUUGAAUGCAAUUAAUUUGGCAUGCUCCCUCGAGCAACAAUUGAUUGAUGCAUCAAAGAUAGAUGCAAGCGUGCUGGAGAAAGUUAGUUUGGGAUAUUGUUCUUUUUUUUCUUCAACACUAGCAAUUUUAGCGAUUAUAGCUUGUAGAUGACUGACUUAUUAGUUUGGUUGUUUUCACUCACAUUGAAUUUGUUUAUUAUAAAUUUUUUCUGAUUGAUUACGUUUAAUUAAUAUAAAUUUAGUGCAU